Molecule: ribosomal RNA, 535 nt
Filed under: uncultured bacterium
Lineage: Bacteria
Description: bacterial SSU rRNA
Rfam family: Bacterial small subunit ribosomal RNA
Source: RNAcentral
CCGUGUCCGCGUGAGUGAAGAAGGCCUUCGGGUUGUAAAGCUCUUUCGGCAGGAACGAAACGGUGAGCUCUAACAUAGCUCGCUAAUGACGGUACCUGAAGAAGAAGCACCGGCUAACUACGUGCCAGCAGCCGCGGUAAUACGUAGGGUGCGAGCGUUAAUCGGAAUUACUGGGCGUAAAGCGUGCGCAGGCGGUUGUGUAAGACAGGUGUGAAAUCCCCGGGCUUAACCUGGGAACUGCGCUUGUGACUGCACGGCUAGAGUAUGGCAGAGGGGGGUGGAAUUCCACGUGUAGCAGUGAAAUGCGUAGAGAUGUGGAGGAACACCGAUGGCGAAGGCAGCCCCCUGGGCCAAUACUGACGCUCAUGCACGAAAGCGUGGGGAGCAAACAGGAUUAGAUACCCUGGUAGUCCACGCCCUAAACGAUGUCGACUAGGUGUUCGGUGAGGAGACUCAUUGAGUACCGCAGCUAACGCGUGAAGUCGACCGCCUGGGGAGUACGGUCGCAAGAUUAAAACUCAAAUGAAUUGACGGA